Molecule: long non-coding RNA, 2260 nt
Organism: Meriones unguiculatus (Mongolian gerbil)
Lineage: Eukaryota; Metazoa; Chordata; Mammalia; Rodentia; Muridae
Exons: 5
Source: RefSeq, a predicted model, not a curated record
CGUGAGCCAUAUUUUAUGGCCAUUCUGAACUGACAAGUCAGUCAGCCGCAAAGCCCAGAGAGGUGGGAGGCCCCUCUGCUGCCAGUGUUGAGUGGUAGGGCUGCAACCUUACUCCUUCAAGUAAAUAAAUCAAAGCAAGAGCAUCAGAGCCAAUUUUGAGGAACAAGCAUACUGCUAGAAAUACGUGAUUGAGAGGAAAAAGCAGCGCCGGGAAGAAGCAGGUAUAACUUCACGGCACCUGGAAAGUUCUCGAAAACACAGCCACCGCCCUGAGCUGGUACCUGCCGGAGAAGAUGGGCAGGAAGCAGCGGGGAGGUGGAGCGGGGUGACAGAAUCCAGAGAACUUGAAGGUCCGCCUCUUGACAAAGAGGACACAUGCUGGUGACGUCCUCAGAGGUAGAAUGUAAGACAUCCAGUAACAUGCUGUAAGAAAAUGAAGGCUGUGGCAGGGAAGCAGCCACUAAGGACCGGAGAAUCGAAUACAUCAGUUAAUUUGUGGGCUGCUUGGACCUGGCAUCUUCCACAGUGUCAUGAACUUUUAUCCCAAAAGGCAUCUUCAGCCGGAGGUACCGAACCCAGAAAGGGGUCAGAGUUCGAAUUACAGACUUUUCUAUCACAGACUUCAAAAGGUGCAAGAAUUGUGUUGCGGAUGUAUCCACUGGGCCCAGAUUCCCGCCAUCAGCUGCUCUCUGUCUUCUGAGCAGCUGUGGUUUGCUGUGACCGUGCCCCUGCUGCAAAGACAGGCUUCUUUAAUGAAGGAUGGGAGCUACAAGGGCCUGGAAGGAGAGUUACAGAAACCAAACUGGGAACAGCCCUUGAUCUUGUGUGUAAACACGUAAAUACCAACCGUCACAUGUCACAGCAGUGCAGCAUGGGAAAAGUCAAGUGUGUGGAGGGAGAGUUCCAUUUGGUUUUUCUGUGUGCAGCCUUGGCUGUCCUGGACUCACUCUGUCGACCAGGCUGGACUCCAGCUCACAUUGAUCCACCUGCCUCUUUAACCCCCGGGUGCUGGGGUUAAAGGUGUGCCCCACCCCACCUGGCUGAAUCUUCAUUAUUAGUAAGAAAUGCUGCACUCUUCAAAAGCCAUCCCAACACACAAGGCUGCUGAGCUGCCCCCUCCGAGGACCACUGCUCUGUAGGCUCCGGCUCUAAAGAUGAGUCUGGGCUGAGUAAGCUCACUGAACAUGCACCACCAUAGCACCCUCGGAAGGGACCAACCCCAUCCAAAGCAAAUAACUCCCUUGCCUCCACAUUCCUGAGCGGCUAGGCAUGUUCUUCCCACUCUCAGAUGCCUAUAAUUCCUUGUCGUGGAGUCAAUUAUGACAAGUAGGAGCCAAUAUACCGACUUUUUCCUUCACACACAGCCCUUCUGAAAUGGGAGCGGCACACGGCGCUGUUGUGGCUGGCAGCCUCCCUUGUCCUCACCCUCUGCUGGCCUUGCUGCCGCUGAGACACAUCCCUACCCUUUCCGAGAGGAGUCACGGAGAGGUAGGACGCUUCGCUGAAGAUCCCUCAGGGUCCGGGUCACCGUUAUGGUUUGAAUGUAAAAUGCCUGUUCCUGCUCUGAAAGCUCAGUCCUGGGUUUGUGGCUUUAUUUUGGAGGCUGUGGAGCCAUAAGAAAGCUGGGCCCAGUCUGUAGAAGAGGUCACUAGGGGUGGACCUUCAUACGUCAAGUAUGGCCACAGUUCUGGUUCAGUUUUCUUCCUGGGCCACUGCCACAUGAGGUAUCUAUGCCAUAGACUCCCACCACAACGAAUGCCACCGCAGCCAGCUGCUCUGCCACCACGCCUUCCUCACCACAGAACCUGAAAGCCCUCUGGAGCAAAGCACAUUUUUCCUGCAGCAGGAGGCUUUUGUUAGAGCGCCUGUUUCAAAGAUGAAAAGUAAUGACCACAGCUGAGCCAGCCUCCGCACCUGGCAGGUGUCUGAGAUUGAUGCUGAGAUUAAGGAACAGCAACAGAAGUCCUCGCUGUUUCCCAGCCUGAGCUUCUCUGAGGCCCACAGCCUCACCUCACUCGGUCCUUUCCCAUUCACAACUUCUCCGUUGGCCUGUUCUGAUCCAGGAUCCUCCCUCACUGGUCCCUCCAGCCAAGACAUCCCUCUCCAGUGUGGAGCUAUUGCCUUGGUCCUCAUUGGUCUCCCAUCUACCAUCUUCCUACCCGUAUUUCACCCUGCAGUGGAUGCUCUUCAAGACACUUCUUUCUCUUGCACCAGCAAAGAUUAUAGUAGGAACAUGUUCCUGUUAUGAAAUUUUUGCAUC